This 126-nucleotide non-coding RNA is filed under the name Carlito syrichta (Philippine tarsier). The record is from RNAcentral. Lineage: Eukaryota; Metazoa; Chordata; Mammalia; Primates; Tarsiidae.
GUGUUGUAUGAAAGGAGAGAUGACUAGCACUCCCCUUGACAAGGUUGGAAAUGGCUUUUGGGCCUGACAACACGCAUAUGGUUAAAGCAUUGCCAUCUACUUCGUGGCAUCUAACUAUCGUUUUUU